AGCGAACGCUGGCGGCAGGCCUAACACAUGCAAGUCGAACGAACCUUUCGGGGUUAGUGGCGGACGGGUGAGUAACACGUGGGAACGUGCCUUUAGGUUCGGAAUAACUCAGGGAAACUUGUGCUAAUACCGAAUGUGCCCUUCGGGGGAAAGAUUUAUCGCCUUUAGAGCGGCCCGCGUCUGAUUAGCUAGUUGGUUGAGGUAAUGGCUCACCAAGGCGACGAUCAGUAGCUGGUCGGAGAGGAUGAUCAGCCACAUUGGGACUGAGACACGGCCCAAACUCCUACGGGAGGCAGCAGUAUCGAAUCUUGCGCAAUGGGCGAAAGCCUGACGCAGCCAUGCCGCUUGAAUGAUGAAGGUCUUAGGAUUGUAAAAUUCUUUAACCGGGGACGAUAAUGACGGUACCCGGAGAAGAAGCCCCGGCUAACUUCGUG
RNAcentral lists this ribosomal RNA (434 nucleotides) under uncultured bacterium. RNAcentral's name for it is "partial 16S ribosomal RNA". It matches the Rfam family "Bacterial small subunit ribosomal RNA", at positions 29 to 507 of the family's 1533-position model. The record is from RNAcentral.